GCAUAUUUAUAAUAUUUCAGAUGAUAAAAACAUUUGCCAUCAAGAUGCACAGGCAGAAAUAUUAGUCCACAGUUAUAAAAGACCUAAGAAAAACAUUGAAAUGAAAGACACUUCAUCAACAUUUACAAUUAAAGAGAAGAGGCUUUGGCGACAGUUACAAAAUGCAAAAAAAACAAUAAGGAAUAUAGCGAAGUCAAGAGUGAAUUUAGACAAGUUAGAUUCGGAAGUGCUGACAUCGUUAGUAAAGGAUGUAGUGCAGAAUAACAAAAAAAAGUCACAAGGAAAAAGGUGGACUUUAGCCAACAAAAUAUAUGCUUUGGCUAUAUUUAAACGGUCCCCUAAAGCAUACCGCUAUAUGCAAAAGCUGUUUACGCUACCAAGCACUAAAACGCUCCAAAGGAUUUUAAAAAAUAUACCAAUGGAGCCUGGUAUAAAUAAAAAUAUAAUUGAUAUGUUAGAGGCAAAAGCAUCAAGUAUGCCAAAGGAAAAUAAAUAUUGCUCGUUAAUAUUUGACGAGAUGGCGUUAAAGAAACGGAUAAUUUAUAACGAAAUUGCUGAUAAAGUGGAUGGCUACGUGGAUUAUGGAGAGGGCGAGAACAUGGGACGAGAAAAGAAAAUUGCAGACCAUGCGUUAGUGUUUAUGAUACAGGGUGCUAAACAUAAAUACAAACAAUAUAUUGCGCACUAUUUUGUGGAAGGCACAAUAUCAACAGCAAAACUGGCAAAAAUUAUAUCGGACAUCAUCAAAAAAUUAAAAGAAAUCGGAUUUAUGGUUCUAACAACAGUUUGUGAUCAGGGAUCUACAAAUAUAGGAGCUCUUAACAUGUUAAAAAGAAACUGUGGACAAGGCAUAGAUAGCAACUUUUUCUCUGUAAAUAAUGACAAAAUUUUUAUAAUCUAUGACAUCCCUCACUUGUUCAAAUCAUUACGAAACAAUUUCUUUAAAAGUGGAAAUAUGUCUUUCGAUGGAAAAAUUGCACAAUGGAGGCAUUUGGUAGUUGCAGAAGAACACAACAGAAAUUUUUUAAAUUUUAAAAAACUGAAUAGUACCAUUGUAAAUCCAACAUUCAAAACUAAGAUGAGGGUGAAGUAUGCUGCGCAUGCUCUGAGUAAUACCGUGGCAGCUAUUUUAAAAAUGAUGGCAUGGAAAGAAGUUUCUGAUUGCAAUGAUACAGCAUUUGUGAUUGAACAGUUAGAUAAACUAUUUGAUUGUACAAAUGGUCCAUCAUCUUUAAAUGACGUAAAGAAAGGGAUCCGGGAAAAUGUUUCCACAUCAAGUAAUCACAUUGAGUCUUGGACCUUUUAUACUGAUAAGUUAAAAACCAUAAAAUUUAUAACAGCAGAAAACACGAUACUAAAAAAUGUUAAAUGCGUAAAGGGAUAUCAAAUAUCUAUCAAAUCCUUAAACGAUAUUUGGGAAAAGUUAAAGAAUGAAGGGUUUAAAUAUAUGAACCUUAGACAGUUUAACCAAGACUCUCUGGAAAACUUAUUUGGAAUCAUUAGGCAACACAGUGUAACCAAUAGAAAUCCCACUAUCACGCACUUUACUGCAGCGCUUAAAACAAGCAUGGUUACUGGGCUGAAAGUGCCUCAUAGCAGAAGUGCUAAUUGUGAAGCAGACAACAAUAAACAUAUGCUGGAAUAUAAAGACAUUUUAAAAACUAAUUUAAAAACAACAGAAAUAAAAAUUAAUGUUCAAGAUUCCACAGACACUGAAUUUUAUCCUGUGUUGUCUAUCCCGGACCCUGAAAACUUAGAACAGCCCAUUGAAAAUUUGUGUAGCCUUGAAAACCAACCAGUAGUAUAUGUAAGCGGGUAUUUAGCUGCCAAACUAUUACAGAACAGUUCUUGUUUAAUUUGUGAAGAGUGUUUGAGCGUGAAAACUCCUGUUGACAAUGAUUUGUAUGCAUAUAUAUCUCUUCGCGAAUGGUGGCAUGAUAAAAAAAGUCUCGUUUAUCCAACAAUUCAAUUAUGUACCACCGUAAAUGAAGCUAAACAAUUUUAUCAUGACCAUAUUGCCGACCAGAUAUAUAUGGAAAAUGUUGGAAAAUUCAUUUUCUUAAUGUUGAGUACAAAUUGUAAUUUUAGUUGGUUUAAAUGUCAACAACAUAAUAAAGAAAUUUAUGAUAA
This is a long non-coding RNA of Ostrinia nubilalis (European corn borer), 2130 nucleotides long. RefSeq lists it as uncharacterized. The transcript is spliced from 2 exons. Lineage: Eukaryota; Metazoa; Arthropoda; Insecta; Lepidoptera; Crambidae. The record is from RefSeq and is a predicted model, not a curated record.